GAGGGGCUGCUCCUAGUACGAGAGGACCGGAGUGGACGAACCUCUGGUGUUCCGGUUGUCACGCCAGUGGCACUGCCGGGUAGCUAUGUUCGGAAUAGAUAACCGCUGAAAGCAUCUAAGCGGGAAACUAGCCUCAAGAUGAGAUCUCACUGGGAACUUGAUUCCCCUGAAGGGCCGUCGAAGACUACGACGUUGAUAGGUCGGGUGUGUAAGCGCUGUGAGGCGUUGAGCUAACCGAUACUAAUUGCCCGUGAGGCUUGACCAU
Molecule: ribosomal RNA, 265 nt
Filed under: Pseudomonas citronellolis
Lineage: Bacteria; Pseudomonadati; Pseudomonadota; Gammaproteobacteria; Pseudomonadales; Pseudomonadaceae
Description: partial 23S ribosomal RNA
Rfam family: Bacterial large subunit ribosomal RNA
Source: RNAcentral